UGGAAAUCAUUAUCUUAAGGGAAACAUGAAGACUGAACUGAGAAAAAUGAGGGACUGUAACAAAACAGAAAAACUAUAGCUAGUAGGGAAGACAAAAAGGAACCCCAUGAAAAAAUUAUGGCCAUGAUGUCCCCAAAUCCAGGACAAUCCAAAUUCUGGAGCUAGAUCUAAUAACACUAAUAAAUAGUGUUAGAGAAAGACAAGAAGUUUCAGCUCUUCUUCAGAGUCUAUGCCAAAAGCUAAAGGUCAUAUCUCUUCCCAGUCCCAAGCCCCAUACAUCCUUAACAUUAGCACUUUAAAUAUGGCCUCUGCCAUGAAGAUAAAGGUGACAUUUGUCAAGUCCUAUUCACAGUAAUGAGCAGGGAUAUAUUAAUGGAGGACCACUGGACAAUUCUGUUUUAUUGCACAUUUUGCAGCACUGGUAUAGAGUUGGAGACCACAACCAGAAAAAGAGGUGGGAACAUGAACUUAAGUAUGAAGGUGUUGUGAAAUUGAAAGAGUUAGAAAAAAGAGAAAGAAAUCUCAUGGCAAAGGAAUUUACCAGAAGUGGAUGUUAUAGAACUGAGUUUCAGGUGAUACAAUGGAACAGGCAGAAAAAGAAAUGGAAAAACCAAAAAAAAAAAAAAAAAAAAAAAAAGGAAAAAAACAAAGUCAAGCUCGAAGAGACAAGAUUGAAUAGUAUUGGAAAAGGCAGGAUGGUCAAAAUAAGCAAAUAGAGCUUUACUUGGAAAUUUG
This is a long non-coding RNA of Antechinus flavipes (yellow-footed antechinus), 735 nucleotides long. RefSeq lists it as uncharacterized. The record is from RefSeq and is a predicted model, not a curated record. The transcript has 2 exons. NCBI's taxonomy places the organism in Eukaryota, Metazoa, Chordata, Mammalia, Dasyuromorphia, Dasyuridae.